RNAcentral lists this ribosomal RNA (371 nucleotides) under uncultured bacterium. RNAcentral's name for it is "bacterial SSU rRNA". It matches the Rfam family "Bacterial small subunit ribosomal RNA", at positions 527 to 896 of the family's 1533-position model. The record is from RNAcentral.
GUAGGGUGCAAGCGUUAAUCGGAAUUACUGGGCGUAAAGGGCGCGCAGGCGGUUCGUUUAGUCCGAGGUGAAAUCUCCCGGCUCAACUGGGAGGGGUCUUUGGAUACUGGCGGACUUGAGGUGAGCAGAGGUGAGCGGAAUUCUGGGUGUAGUGGUGAAAUGCGUAGAUAUCCAGAGGAACACCAGUGGCGAAGGCGGCUCACUGGGCUCUACCUGACGCUGAGGCGCGAAAGCGUGGGGAGCGAACCGGAUUAGAUACCCGGGUAGUCCACGCCGUAAACGAUGGACACUAGGUGUGGGGGGUAUUGACCCCCUCUGUGCCGCAGCUAACGCAAUAAGUGUCCCGCCUGGGGAGUACGGCCGCAAGGCUA